UACGUAGGGAGCGAGCGUUGUCCGGAUUUAUUGGGCGUAAAGAGCUCGUAGGCGGUUCGGUAAGUCGGGUGUGAAAACCCCCAGGCUCAACCUGGGGACGCCACCCGAUACUGCUGUGACUUGAGUCUGGUAGGGGGAGCACGGAAUUCCUGGUGUAGCGGUGAAAUGACGCAGAUAUCAGGAGGAACACCGGUGGCGAAGGCGGAUCUCUGGGCCAUUACUGACGCUGAGGAGCGAAAGCAUGGGGAGCGAACAGG
RNAcentral lists this ribosomal RNA (257 nucleotides) under uncultured bacterium. RNAcentral's name for it is "partial 16S ribosomal RNA". It matches the Rfam family "Bacterial small subunit ribosomal RNA", at positions 524 to 776 of the family's 1533-position model. The record is from RNAcentral.